RNAcentral lists this ribosomal RNA (323 nucleotides) under uncultured eukaryote. Its description in RNAcentral is "partial 18S ribosomal RNA". It matches the Rfam family "Eukaryotic small subunit ribosomal RNA", at positions 1470 to 1796 of the family's 1831-position model. The record is from RNAcentral.
CCCCUAGAUGUUCUGGGCCGCACGCGCGCUACACUGAACAGUUCAACAAGUCUUAACCUUGGCCGAUAGGUCUGGGUAAUCUUUGAACGCUGUUCGUGAUUGGGAUAGACCUUUGCAAUUAUGGGUCUUCAACGAGGAAUUCCUAGUAAACGCAAGUCAUCAGCUUGCAUUGAUUACGUCCCUGCCCUUUGUACACACCGCCCGUCGCUCCUACCGAUUGGGUGAUCCGGUGAAUGAUUCGGACUUCGGUGCUCCUAGCUUGCUAGGCGUACUGGGGAAAGUUUUGUGAACCUUAUCACUUGGAGGAAGGAGAANUCGUANCA